Molecule: long non-coding RNA, 262 nt
Organism: Mauremys reevesii (Reeves's turtle)
Lineage: Eukaryota; Metazoa; Chordata; Testudines; Geoemydidae
Exons: 3
Source: RefSeq, a predicted model, not a curated record
AAAACCCCAUUGUACGUCGGCUCAGUCUGCGAGGCCUUGGCAGUAUUGUGCUCCAGCCAGAAAAGGUGCACUCGUUACGGGCCCAGCUGCCAGCGAUCAUGGACAUGUUCUGUGACACGGAUAGAGGGCGUGUCAUGGGAGCCAUGCAUCAAGCUGCAGACAUCAUCUACCUCCUGGAUGGGGAGGGGCUUGGCUCCAUCUCCCAGGACAUUGCAGUCAGCCUUCGCCCCUUCAUUGAUGACGAGAGGGACAGCGUGCGCCC